Vicia villosa (hairy vetch) is the source of this 5842-nucleotide long non-coding RNA. RefSeq lists it as uncharacterized. The record is from RefSeq and is a predicted model, not a curated record. The transcript is spliced from 13 exons. Lineage: Eukaryota; Viridiplantae; Streptophyta; Magnoliopsida; Fabales; Fabaceae.
UUCUUAGCCUAUCCACAUCAGCAUCUGUUCCAUGGUAAUUCCACAUCAGCUUUGGCGGUUAAGCAUGAUUUUCUGAUCAUUCAUCUGCAUGGUGGGCUGCCGGCAGUUAUUGCUGUGGGAGUUUCACCCUCCCAGCUUCUAUUAUUCAAUUUCCACUAUUCUCAUAACUGUCCUUAAUCCCACACUCUUCCAAAUUCCAAAACCGUUCAAAAAAUGUUAGUGCAGCCCAUUCUUCUUCUUCUUCUUUCACGAUCCAUUUUCUCCAAAUUCCUUUCAUUUUGCCUCACACAAUUGAGAUUCUUCCUGUUCUGAAGACAAAGAAGCAACCUAUCCUGUUCACGGCGGUGUUGCUUGAGGUUCGUCAAUGAUGGAUAACUUCACGUAUGUUGUCUGCGGCUGUGUCAAUCUUGGCCGGAAGGGUGAUGCUCGCGGUGAUUGGUUUUGCUUUCUGAUGACCCUUCACAGUGGUUGGGUUUGAUUAAACGGGGAAUCUUUCACAUAUUGGAUUGGGUUUACAUUGUAAUUGCUCACAUAAUCUCUGGUAUUGGAAUCGUGGGUGGACUAAAUUGUAAGGUCUGUAUCGAUAAAACAGCAAUACAACACUCCUCAUUCUGUACUACUGUGGCUACUGCGAUACCAACGUGUUUCCGUCAACGACUGUGGUGGUGGGAUUUAUGGUGUCAUGGCUGUUGCAGGGAGUUUUAUAUGUUCGAUUACCAUAAUUGACUCUCUUGGAGGUUUUCAUCUUCUAAUAGAUGUUGUUCUUUAAGAACUUGGAUAUGUCGUUCCUCCAAUUAUGUACAGGUUUGUGCAAUACAGUGUGACUCUGCAACGUUAUUUCAAUCACCUUCGCGAACUCCACUGUGAAUAAUAUUCAUCAUCAUCAUCAACAACCUCUACAACACCCCCAACAAUAACUCGGCGACAACAAGAACACAAUUCUACUGCAUCACGUAAAAAUGUGGCGUCACUUCGAGUUCACGCAUCGAAAGAAACGAACAUGGAUGGAUCUAACUCAAGGUAUGGAAUUCAUAAACCCCAAUCCAUAAUUUUUUUCUGUCUCUCUUUCUCACUCGAUUCUUUUCUCUCUUUCACUAAUUUGCUGUCGGCGGUGCAGUUUCUAAUGAUUUGUAUGUGUUGGUUAUGGAGAACGACGGGCUUUCUGAAAAUCUGAACAGUUAUAGGUGUUGUGUUUAUUGGAAUUGAAAUUAUGGAACCACAACGUAUGAUGGGAACAAUGGAGAGAUUUAUGUUGGCACUGGAAAAUCAGAAUCUAAGAGGAGAAUCAGUGUUGGGUUCAAUCAAAACUCUAAAGUAUUCUUGCAUAUUUUCUUGAAUGGUUAUUUACUUCUUGAUUGAUUUUUUUUUUGUGUUUGAAUGAAUAUUAUUAUGCAACGUGCAUCUUAACCCGUGCCUUAACCCGUACGGUGGUUUUAAGCGUCGUCGCAUCAAUGAGAUAAUAGUUCAAGCUCAAGGAGAGCACACCUUCGUUCACUAUUCUUUGUUUGUUACUUGAAAAAAAACUAUUCCAUAUUGCAGAUGAUGGAAAGUUAGACACUGAGUUAAAUUCAGGUGAAUUUUGGGUCCUCUUUGGUGGUUUUGCUCCCAUUGCAAAAAAAAGGUAAUCAGUGAGGAUGAUAUCAUUACAGAGACAAUCCCUGCUCAGCUGUAUCGUGAUAGUUCUCAACACAGAUUAGAAGGGCUGAAUUGAAUCUGAAUGGAAUCGUCCCUGUUUCUAUGGUUGUGAUUCUUCAGGACUUCAAGUGGUACGAUUUUGUCCUCAAAUUACAUAAAAUUUAUAAUGGAACACAAACACAUCUCUCGAUGAUUUUGUGUAAACCAUUGGGAACUUCGAAGCUACUGAUGUUGCCAAUGCAGUUCUGGAUGGAACAGACUGUGUGAUGCUUAGUGGUGAGAUAGCUGCUGGAGUUUAUCCAGAACAAGUGAAUGUCUCAGUGCUGUGACUAAAAUGAAAUCGGAGAAGAAACCGAAAACCGAAGCAUGUUUGCGAAAUAGCAGAAUUUUCUGAUGCAGAGAUUAUUCAUUUUAAUAUGCAGAUAUGCACAAGUUGUAAUGAUGGAUAGACUAUGAUUCGAUUUGCGAUCAUUUUUUGCGGAGGAUGGAAUUGGAGGAAGAAGUGAGGAGGGAAAAUGCAAUCGAGAGAGAAUUGGGGAUUUCAAUACAAAGGCCGCUGAAUAUUCAGGGACUAAUGUCGCAGUGGUAAAAUUCAAUACUGAUGAACCCUGUUGCUGUUGGCCAUAUUGGUGCGUCGUAACCACAAACUGAUAUUUAUUGAUAAAAAUGUAUGGAUUUUUUGGGAAGAAAAUCAAAGAUUUAUUCGGAAACAUUUUUUGGUAUGAAUUAGUCGAUGUUAAGAAGCCGCGAGAUCAUGGAGUACCUUAUUCACUUACCGAAGGACUCACAAGUGUUUACAGAAUGCAUACGCUCCUACCUGAGGAGAUUGUUCUUCGAAAACUCAAACCUGACUGAUACAGUGCAAGGAGAGGAAGAGUGUAUCUACCACAACAUGAGUUGGCUCUGGCAGGGCUUUCAGAUGACGAUAUAUUUGCUGGUAAGGUGACAGACCAGUGGAGGAGUUUCAUGAAGAUCCAAAUCAAAAGAGCUUAUAUGAUAGAUUAUUAGGAAUGAAAGUGUGAUAUAUGGGAACAAUGAGAAGGGAAUGAGUAGAGUGAGAACCUUCAGAGAGGGAAAGCUGACGACAUCAGACACAUUAGACAUUAGAUCAAAAUCGAAUGAUUCUAUAACAAUAAUUAUAUUUUAUAUUUCAUAAUAUUAUUAAAAUUUCCAAUUUAGAUCAGAUAAGGGCUCACGCAGAAGCCAUGAGAUUUGCAGUACUUUUGGCGAUGGGGACCAGCCGUAGCAACACUGCACAUGAUUUGAACAAAAGCUUCUUGAAUUCUUAUACUUUUAUUUAUUACAGUCAAUGAUAUAUUACAUAAUUAUUGAAUUUACUUUUUGUUUAGCUCUAGGAAAUUCCGCUCUGGCAUCAAGUCCUCCAGUUGGUGAGAGGAAAUUGUUCUCAUAUAUCACACUUGGCUUGGUUUUGCUGCUCCUCAUGAUUCUCCAUGAUUUCAAGAUCAAGAAACUAGAAAUCUACACAAUAACAAUUUGAUUGCUGAUUCUUCUGGUACAUCAGGUAUUAUAUGAUUUUGCAAUUUCUUUUCAAUUAUACUAUAUCUUUAUGUGAAGAAUACUCUCAAUUUAUUCACUGCAUAAGCAAUGUCAAGUAUGGAAAUGGUUAAAUACAUAAACCUGUCAAUCAAUCUUAUAUAAUCUGAAACAUCAGUCAAAACCUUAUCAGUUGUAUCAGGGAGAGAAACACCAGGAUUCAUUGGCAUAACUACAAAUUUUGAAGCCAAAUGUUAUGUAUCUUCUAACUGUUGUAGCGUGUAUUUUCGAUGGCACGACUGAAUACCCUAACUAGACUCUGCAAUCUCCAAACCAGUAGCGUGUAUUUUCGACGACACGACUGAAUGAUACAAUGAGCGUAUUGGUCAAGCCAGCCAAGAGAUUUUCCUAAUCCCGACACAAACUUUGAUGGAUGAGUGGUUACACAAUUAGAUAAUUUUAGAGUUACAGAGUCGGCACAGAGAAUUACUCUUUAAAAUCAUGUGUUCAGCUGUUCAUAUAAAAGUAUGAAAUAGGGACAUCAAUUUGAGCUGUUGUUGUUGAUCAUAAUCAGAUAACAUGUCAAAUUCAUCCAUAUGAUUAUCUCUGACAUUGAGUGAAGAUCUCAACCGACUGGGCUGGAGAUUACUUCCCCGAAGAUCUGAACCAGUUCUGAAUUAUGGUCUGAGCAAGCCGAUGAAACUGUUCUGGAUUCUCAAGUUUGGAAAAUGUUCUUCCUCGCGAUUUUGACAACACUGAUUGUUAUGUUGUGAAAUGUGGCUUUGACAAUGAUGCUUAUGUUCUUACUUCGUUGGCUUCUCUAUAUGCAAAGCAAGGGUUCACAUAUAUGGCAAAACAGAUUUACAAAUACUAUCCCACAAAAGAGUUGAUUACGUUAACAGCUAUAAUCUCUAGCUGUUCUGAAAAUGUGAUAUAGAGUCUGCGAUGAAGUGUUUUAUCCAAACUAUGAAGUUAGAUAUAAAACCAGAUGCAAUUGCAAUGCAUUGAUAGGUGUCCUUCAUGGAAUUACAUGUCCUUCACAUUUUUCUAUUGGAUGUGCUUUCCACGGUUAUGGUGUAAAGAGCGGGUUGUCUAAUGAUUAUUUAGUUGAAAAUGGGCUAAUAAGUUUGUAUUCUAGAUUUGACGAGAUAGAAACAGUUUGACUUUGUUUUACAAUAAGAGAAAAGCCACAAAUCACAUGGAAUUCUAUGAUAUCAGGUUGUCUGUUUGCAAGCUGGAAAGUCAAGUGAUGCCAUGGAGUUGUUCUCCAAAACGAACAUGCAUGGACAAAAACCAGAUACCAUUAAGUGUUACCAGUCUACUAAACGGGUGUUGCCUGCUUUUAUUACUAAGAGUCAUUUGUUUGUGGUAGAAAAUAGUUUUAAAAGCUAAUAAGUUUAUAUUUGAGUUAACGCAUUUAUAAGUAAUAAUUUUUUUUCUAGAUGUCUCUAAUCCAAAAGCCAUGUAUGAAUUGAAGCAGCCUGCAAGUCGAUUACAUGGUCCAUCUUUUUCAGUGAAAAACAUCUGAUCUCAGUGAUGUAUUACAGAAAUUUCUCAAUGCCUGUUACAGUUUACUGAAUGCUAAGGUUGAUCAUGGAAAUUUUGGCAUAUAACUAACUACAACCUUGGAAUGGAUUAUCAAUCAUUGUUUUUCAAUUCAUGAUGUUUCAAGUAUGGAGGGUAAAAUUAAAAAACAAUUUGAUUGGGAUGAGACGCGGAGUGAAAAUGAAUCUGAAAUUGGAACAGUCACAGAUACGAAACGAUUUCAGGAAUUAGAGAAAACUAUUGCCAGCUUGAGAUUUGAGUUACAAACGUUAAAGGAGUCCAAUAAAAGACUUGAAGAUCGAAUACAAAACGAAAGAUCCUUAAAUAGAGAUCAUGACACCGAGCUUACAGAAACCGAACUAAAUGAGGCUUAUCACAAGAUUUUGGAAUUAGAGGUGGAACUGGACAAAGAAUCUCUAUUGUGAAGAAUUAGACACAAAAUUUGUUCAACUUUAGCUUCAGCUUGAAAGGAAAAUCGAACUCUAUUGCAAUAUUGUUUUGAGGUUUGUUUACAAAUCCUCUAGGAAUGGGAGAUAACAACAGCUUCAGAGAAGUUAGCAGUGUCAAGAAACCAUCCUUAUCCUUGAGAAGAAGUUGAAGGUAUUGGCUGCGAAAAAGGAUAUGUCCCUUUUCGACAACAUUAUUGCGGCUCAUCGUCGUCCUAUAAUCACAAAUACAUCCAGUGUUAGUCUUUCCGGUAAAGACACGAAGAUGUAAAACCGGCCGUCUCUUUUGGAUCAAAUGCUUGCUGAUGAUGAUGCAAAAUCUAAGGUUUGAAAAGCAAGUGAAAAAGGCUUUAAGCAGUCGCUCGAAAAGAUUGUAGUUUUGACAGGAGUUAGAGGUAAUGAUGACAGUGUUAAUGUCAAUUCUUUGGCCAUUUUACCUGCCAAGAAAUCUGGACGACGAAGCUUCUGGAAAAGGAUGUUAAGGACGAGAAAAAAGCCGAAAAGAGAACAAGUGUAUCAGUUUAACAAGUGAGGUGAAUAUUGAAUGUAGUUGAGUACUCUCUGUUUUAUUUGUUGCAGUUUAAAUAAAUUUAUUAUCUUAUUAAAUAGCAUAUGUAAUUAAUUUAAAUAAUUAUAUUAAAGGAAACCAAUCUGUAUAUUUAAUACUCACAUAUUCUACCAUCACUAUAACCACAAAUUAAUGAUAUGUGUGAUUUUUUUUU